UACGUAGGGUGCAAGCGUUGUCCGGAAUUAUUGGGCGUAAAGAGCUCGUAGGCGGUUCGUCGCGUCGGCUGUGAAAUCCCGAGGCUCAACCUCGGGUCUGCAGUCGAUACGGGCGGACUGGAGUUCGGCAGGGGAGACUGGAAUUCCUGGUGUAGCGGUGAAAUGCGCAGAUAUCCGGAGGAACACCGGUGGCGAAGGCGGCUUCCUGGACCGACACUGACGCUGAGGCGCGAAAGCUAGGGGAGCAAACGGG
Molecule: ribosomal RNA, 253 nt
Filed under: uncultured bacterium
Lineage: Bacteria
Description: partial 16S ribosomal RNA
Rfam family: Bacterial small subunit ribosomal RNA
Source: RNAcentral